Molecule: ribosomal RNA, 833 nt
Filed under: Salmonella enterica
Lineage: Bacteria; Pseudomonadati; Pseudomonadota; Gammaproteobacteria; Enterobacterales; Enterobacteriaceae
Description: partial 23S ribosomal RNA
Rfam family: Bacterial large subunit ribosomal RNA
Source: RNAcentral
CGGAAGAUGUAACGGGGCUAAACCAUGCACCGAAGCUGCGGCAGCGAACGUAUCACCCAAGACAACUUUACGGAGUUGACGAUUGACGGAGCGAAGCGACGUCAAAGCGUUCAUUAAAGUCGAGUUGGCUUAGGGAUACGUUCGUUGGGUAGGGGAGCGUUCUGUAAGCCUGUGAAGGUGUGUCGUGAGGCAUGCUGGAGGUAUCAGAAGUGCGAAUGCUGACAUAAGUAACGAUAAAGCGGGUGAAAAGCCCGCUCGCCGGAAGACCAAGGGUUCCUGUCCAACGUUAAUCGGGGCAGGGUGAGUCGACCCCUAAGGCGAGGCCGAAAGGCGUAGUCGAUGGGAAACGGGUUAAUAUUCCCGUACUUGGUGUUACUGCGAAGGGGGGACGGAGAAGGCUAUGUUGGCCGGGCGACGGUUGUCCCGGUUUAAGCGUGUAGGUGUGUGUUCCAGGUAAAUCCGGUUCACUUUAACACUGAGGCGUGACGACGAGGCACUACGGUGCUGAAGCAACAAAUGCCCUGCUUCCAGGAAAAGCCUCUAAGCAUCAGGUAACACGAAAUCGUACCCCAAACCGACACAGGUGGUCAGGUAGAGAAUACCAAGGCGCUUGAGAGAACUCGGGUGAAGGAACUAGGCAAAAUGGUGCCGUAACUUCGGGAGAAGGCACGCUGACACGUAGGUGAAGUGAUUUACUCAUGGAGCUGAAGUCAGUCGAAGAUACCAGCUGGCUGCAACUGUUUAUUAAAAACACAGCACUGUGCAAACACGAAAGUGGACGUAUACGGUGUGACGCCUGCCCGGUGCCGGAAGGUUAAUUGAUGGGGUCAGCG